GAUGAACGCUGGCGGCGUGCCUAAUACAUGCAAGUCGAGCGAACAGAUCAGGAGCUUGCUCCUCUGACGUUAGCGGCGGACGGGAGAGUAACACGUGGAUAACCUACCUAUAAGACUGGGAUAAUUUCGGGAAACCGGAGCUAAUACCGGAUAAUAUAUUGAACCGCAUGGUUCAAUAGUGAAAGACGGUUUUGCUGUCACUUAUAGCUGGAUCCGCGCCGCAUUAGCUAGUUGGUAAGGUAACGGGUUACCAAGGCAACGAUGGGUAGCCGCCCUGAAAGGGUGAUCGGCCACCCUGGAACAGAGGCACGUUCCCGACACCUACGGGAGGAAGCAGUAGGGAAUCUUCCGCAAGGGGGGAAAGCCUGACGGAGCAACGCCGCGUGAGUGAUGAAGGUCUUCGGAUCGUAAAACUCUGUUAUUCGGGAAGAACAAAUGUGUAAGUAACCAUGCACGUCUUGACGGUACCUAAUCAGAAAGCCACGGCUAACUACGUG
This 497-nucleotide ribosomal RNA is filed under the name uncultured bacterium. RNAcentral describes it as "partial 16S ribosomal RNA". It matches the Rfam family "Bacterial small subunit ribosomal RNA", at positions 28 to 507 of the family's 1533-position model. The record is from RNAcentral.